UCCUGAUAUAAUAGAAUUAAUAUUUUAAAAGAACUUAUUAAUUAUAAAUAGAUUAAAUUAAUUAAGAAAAUAGUAAAAGGAAAAGAAUAGUAUAUAAAAUGUAAGUAAUUAAACUGAAAAGGAUAAGAUAAAAAUUAAUUAUUAGUAAAAUUUAAAUUUUGUACCUUUAGCAUUAUGGAUUGAUAAUAUAUUGCAUUAAAUAAUUGUUUCUCGAAAUAAAAAGAUUUAUUUAAUAAAGGGUUGAUCCUAAAUGAUUUUAACGUUGUAUAGUUAUGUUAUUAUUAUUAAAUGGUAGUGAAAUGCUAUUCGAUUUUUAUGUUAGCUAGUUUAUUAUUUAAGUACAUAUUAGUGUUAUUUAACAAAAUAUGUAAUUACAUAUAUUUGUUAAAUAAAUAAUUAAUGGGGGAAAAGCUUCAUAUUAUUGUUAAGAUUAAAAUAUAAAAAUAGUUUGUUUAUUUAAGUUGAAUUAAAUAAUUUAAUUUAUAAUUUCAAUAAUUAAAUUAUUGGUAUAAAUCUUGAUAAAUUUUAAUAAAAUUUUAUUAAUUAUUAUAAUAAUUUAAUAUAAUGUUAAUAUGAGUAUUGUUAAUUUAACUUAAUUAAAUUUUGUUAGAAAAUAUAAUUGAAAGUGUUAAUAAAAUAAUGUAAUUGAAAUAAUUAUAAAUAAAAUAAAUAAAAGGAAUUCGGCAAAUAUCAAUUUCGCCUGUUUAUCAAAAACAUGUCUCUUUGUUUUUUACAUAUAAGGAGUCGGGCCUGCUCAGUGAUAUUAUAUUUAACAGCUGCAGUAUAAUAGCUGUACUAAGGUAGCAUAAUAAUUUGCCUUAUAAAUUAAGGCUAGAAUGAAUGGUUUGACGAAAGUUGAUCUGUCUCUUAUUUACUUAUUAGAAAUUAAUUUUUAUAGUGAAAAAGCUUUAAUUAAUUAAAGGGACGAGAAGACCCUAUUGAGCUUUUAUCAGAUAUAUAUAAAAUUAUUUUAAAAUUAUAUAUUAAAUGAUUUUGAUUGGGGUGAUCGAGGAAUAAAAUAAAUUAGUAACUUCCUUAAUAUAAAAUUAUUGAUAAAUUAAUUAACCAAUAUUUUGCUUACGUGAAUAAGUUACCAUAGGGAUAACAGCGUAAUUUUUUUAGAGAGUUCUUAUUGAUAAAAGAGAUUGCGACCUCGAUGUUGGAUUAAAAUAACCUUAAGGUGAAGAAGCUUUAAUAGGUGAAUCUGUUCGAUUUUUAAAAUUUUACAUGAUCUGAGUUCAGACCGGUGUAAGCCAGGUUGGUUUCUAUCUUUUAAUGAAAUGUGUUGUUUGUAUCUAGUACGAAAGGACCGAUUUAUAACUAAAAGUGUUUAAUUAAAAUAUAUAAAGUUGACAGAAUAUAUGUGAGUGAAUUAGGAUCAUUU
This 1384-nucleotide ribosomal RNA is filed under the name Opisthoteuthis californiana. RNAcentral's name for it is "16S ribosomal RNA". The stretch from base 644 to 1384 matches the Rfam family "Archaeal large subunit ribosomal RNA", at positions 1423 to 2908 of the family's 2987-position model. The record is from RNAcentral. Lineage: Eukaryota; Metazoa; Mollusca; Cephalopoda; Octopoda; Opisthoteuthidae.